This 493-nucleotide ribosomal RNA is filed under the name uncultured bacterium. RNAcentral describes it as "partial 16S ribosomal RNA". It matches the Rfam family "Bacterial small subunit ribosomal RNA", at positions 29 to 507 of the family's 1533-position model. The record is from RNAcentral.
AACGAACGCUGGCGGCGCGUCUUACACAUGCAAGUCGAACGGCAGGAAGGGGCUUGCCCCUUCUGAGAGUGGCGGACUGGUGAGUAACACGUGGGUGACAUACCUUUUAGUUGGGGAUAGCUAUUAGAAAUAGUAGGUAAUACCGAAUGUGACCGUACCUGUUAGAGGGGUACGAGGAAAGGAGCUAAGGCUUCGCUAAAAGAAUGGCUCGCGGCCCAUUAUGCUCGUUGGUGAGGUAACGGCCCACCAAGGCGAUGAUGGGUAUCCGGCCUGAGAGGGUGAACGGACACAUUGGGACUGAGAUACGGCCCAGACUUCUACGGGAGGCAGCAGUUAAGAAUAUUCCGCAAUGGACGAAAGUCUGACGGAGCGACGCCGCGUGGAUGAAGAAUGCCGAAAGGUUGUAAAAUCCUUUUAAGCCUGAUGAAUAAGCACAGUAGGGAAUGAUGGUGCGGUGACCGUAGGGAUUGAAUAAGCACCGGCUAAUUACGUG